This is a long non-coding RNA of Oncorhynchus kisutch (coho salmon), 286 nucleotides long. RefSeq lists it as uncharacterized. NCBI's taxonomy places the organism in Eukaryota, Metazoa, Chordata, Actinopteri, Salmoniformes, Salmonidae. The transcript is spliced from 3 exons. The record is from RefSeq and is a predicted model, not a curated record.
GGACCUGAUGAGGUUGAAGUACAUGACACGCAAGACCCUGAAAAUAGGAAUCGAGGGCGGGGUAUUGGUGAGGACAUCAACUCGAUAGCAAACGGCGGACAGGGGAGGUUUCGGCUGGCAGUCAGGUGUAGGGUCAAGGAGCCAAAGGCCACUGAGAACACUGAUCCCAAUGUGGAGAAGGCUCCAAAGGCAGCGAAGGUUGGAGCCAAGAAGACUAAGGACAAGGAAGCCGAAGCUGAGAAGAAAAAGGCUACAGCCAAAAAGCAGAAGGAGAAACCUUCAGAGG